This 1498-nucleotide ribosomal RNA is filed under the name Mycoplasmopsis gallinacea. RNAcentral's name for it is "Mycoplasma gallinaceum 16S ribosomal RNA". It matches the Rfam family "Bacterial small subunit ribosomal RNA". The record is from RNAcentral. Lineage: Bacteria; Bacillati; Mycoplasmatota; Mycoplasmoidales; Metamycoplasmataceae.
AGAGUUUGAUCCUGGCUCAGGAUGAACGCUGGCUGUGUGCCUAAUACAUGCAUGUCGAGCGGAGUUCUUCGGAACUUAGCGGCGAAUGGGUGAGUAACACGUACUUAACGUGCCCCCUUAAUUGGGAUAACGCUGAGAAAUUAGCGCUAAUACCGGAUACUUAAAUAUCUCGCAUGAGGUAUUUAUAAAAGGAGCCUUUAAAGCUUCACAAGGGGAUCGGGGUGCGUAACAUUAGCUAGUUGGUGAGGUAAUGGCUCACCAAGGCGAUGAUGUUUAGCGGGGUUGAGAGACUGAUCCGCCACACUGGGACUGAGAUACGGCCCAGACUCCUACGGGAGGCAGCAGUAGGGAAUUUUCCACAAUGGGCGAAAGCCUGAUGGAGCGACACAGCGUGCAGGAUGAAGGCCUUCGGGUUGUAAACUGCUGUUAUAAGGGAAGAAAAAGUCGAGGAGGAAAUGCCUUGACCUUGACGGUACUUUAUCAGAAAGCAACGGCUAACUAUGUGCCAGCAGCCGCGGUAAUACAUAGGUUGCAAGCGUUAUCCGGAAUUAUUGGGCGUAAAGCGUCUGUAGGUUGUUUGUUAAGUCUGGUGUGAAAACUUGGGGCUCAACCCCAAAUUGCAUUGGAUACUGGCAAACUAGAAUUGUGUAGAGGUUAGCGGAAUUCCUUGUGAAGCGGUGGAAUGCGUAGAUAUAAGGAAGAACAUCAACAUGGCGAAGGCAGCUAACUGGACAUAUAUUGACACUGAGAGACGAAAGCGUGGGGAGCAAACAGGAUUAGAUACCCUGGUAGUCCACGCCGUAAACGAUGAUGAUUAGCUGAUGGGGAACUCAUCGGCGCAGCUAACGCAUUAAAUCAUCCGCCUGAGUAGUAUGCUCGCAAGAGUGAAACUUAAAGGAAUUGACGGGGAUCCGCACAAGCGGUGGAGCAUGUGGUUUAAUUUGAAGAUACGCGUAGAACCUUACCCACUCUUGACAUCUUCUGCAAAGCUAUAGAGAUAUAGUGGAGGUUAACAGAAUGACAGAUGGUGCAUGGUUGUCGUCAGCUCGUGUCGUGAGAUGUUCGGUUAAGUCCUGCAACGAGCGCAACCCUUGUCCUUAGUUAAACGUUCUAGGGAGACUGCCCGGGUAACCGGGAGGAAGGUGGGGACGACGUCAAAUCAUCAUGCCUCUUACGAGUGGGGCAACACACGUGCUACAAUGGAUGGUACAAAGAGACGCAAUACGGCGACGUGGAGCAAAUCUCAAAAAACCAUUCUCAGUUCGGAUUGUAGUCUGCAACUCGACUACAUGAAGUCGGAAUCGCUAGUAAUCGUAGAUCAGCUACGCUACGGUGAAUACGUUCUCGGGUCUUGUACACACCGCCCGUCACACCAUGGGAGCUGGUAAUGCCCGAAGUCGGUUUUGUUAACUACGGAGACAACUGCCUAAGGCAGGACUGGUGACUGGGGUGAAGUCGUAACAAGGUAUCCCUACGAGAACGUGGGGAUGGAUUACCU